GAGUAUGCGGUAAUCGGGAGCAUCAGAGUGAGUGCAUAAACUAAUGCCAUUGAGCUCGAAAGUAGUUUCUUAAUAACCAUAGCCAUCUCCUCGGAUGCAAGGCCACAAAAUCAGCCACUUUUGUUUUUGUCUAUUUAUUUAAAUGCAAUUUAAAUGCCAGCAGCUUUACUUUUUAAGACAACCAGUUUAACGGGUUCACCGCUUUUCCCUUUUGCCUUAUUUCAAAGUAUAGUCCGUUUUGUUUGAUCCCGCCGGUGUGGCCA
This 263-nucleotide non-coding RNA is filed under the name Legionella waltersii. RNAcentral's name for it is "Legionella RNA 17". It matches the Rfam family "Legionella RNA 17". Lineage: Bacteria; Pseudomonadati; Pseudomonadota; Gammaproteobacteria; Legionellales; Legionellaceae. The record is from Rfam by way of RNAcentral.